RNAcentral lists this ribosomal RNA (253 nucleotides) under uncultured bacterium. RNAcentral's name for it is "partial 16S ribosomal RNA". It matches the Rfam family "Bacterial small subunit ribosomal RNA", at positions 524 to 776 of the family's 1533-position model. The record is from RNAcentral.
UACAGAGGUCUCGAGCGUUGUUCGGAUUCAUUGGGCGUAAAGGGUGCGCAGGCGGCGUGGAAAGUUGAGUGUGAAAUCCCGGGGCUUAACCUCGGAACUGCACUCAAUACUCCCAUGCUAGAGGACUGUAGAGGAGAUCGGAAUUCACGGUGUAGCAGUGAAAUGCGUAGAUAUCGUGAGGAAGACCAGUUGCGAAGGCGGAUCUCUGGGCAGUUCCUGACGCUCAUGCACGAAGGCCAGGGGAGCAAACGGG